Molecule: ribosomal RNA, 563 nt
Filed under: Forcipomyia brevipennis
Lineage: Eukaryota; Metazoa; Arthropoda; Insecta; Diptera; Ceratopogonidae
Description: eukaryotic LSU rRNA
Rfam family: Eukaryotic large subunit ribosomal RNA
Source: RNAcentral
UUCAGUAUUGUUGUAUCGAAAGAUACGAUAGUAUGCACUUUUCUCCUAGUAAGACGAUGCGAUCCAUUAGAAAUACAAAUGUUCUGUACACAGAUGCCGAAUAGGAGUUUAGUCUUUUUGUGAGUACCAUGAAUUUGUUUUUAUGGGAAAGCGUCUAAACUAUUUGGUAUUCUUACAGAUAUCUGAUGGUUUUAAAAUGCUAUAUUUGAUGUCUUGUACAUCAGUAUGCUUCGGUAUACAAUAUAUGCAUGAUCAGCAUCGUUUUAGAUUUGGGAUACCAUCAGGACCCGUCUUGAAACACGGACCAAGGAGUUUAACUUGUAUGCGAGUCAAUGGGAUUAUUGAAACCUAUAGGCGAAAUAAACAUGACUUGUUAAUGGGAUUACGAAAAUUACUAUUGUAAUUUUUCUCCAUCCCCGGGUAUCUUAAUGUACGUGCUUGCACUACAGAGAUAUACCGUGAGCAUACAAGCUGUGACCCGAAAGAUGGUGAACUAUGCCUGAUCAGGUUGAAGUCAGGGGAAACCCUGAUGGAAGACCGUAGCAAUUCUGACGUGCAAAUCG